GACGAACGCUGGCGGCGUGCUUAACACAUGCAAGUCGAACGGAAAGGCCCUGCUUGCCGGGUACUCGAGUGGCGAACGGGUGAGUAACACGUGGGUGAUCUGCCCUGCACUUCGGGAUAAGCUUGGGAAACUGGGUCUAAUACCGGAUAGGAGCCAUCUUUAGUGUGGUGGUUGGAAAGUUUUUUCGGUGUAGGAUGAGCUCGCGGCCUAUCAGCUUGUUGGUGGGGUAAUGGCCUACCAAGGCGGCGACGGGUAGCCGGCCUGAGAGGGUGUACGGCCACAUUGGGACUGAGAUACGGCCCAGACUCCGACGGGAGGCAGCAGUGGGGAAUAUUGCACAAUGGGCGCAAGCCUGAUGCAGCGACGCCGCGUGGGGGAUGAAGGCCUUCGGGUUGUAAACUCCUUUCGCUAGGGACGAAGCUUUUUUGUGACGGUACCUAGAUAAGAAGCACCGGCUAACUACGUG
This 466-nucleotide ribosomal RNA is filed under the name uncultured bacterium. Its description in RNAcentral is "partial 16S ribosomal RNA". It matches the Rfam family "Bacterial small subunit ribosomal RNA", at positions 28 to 507 of the family's 1533-position model. The record is from RNAcentral.